RNAcentral lists this long non-coding RNA (1015 nucleotides) under Mus spicilegus (steppe mouse). Its description in RNAcentral is "lncRNA (ENSMSIG00000026185.1)". The record is from RNAcentral. Lineage: Eukaryota; Metazoa; Chordata; Mammalia; Rodentia; Muridae.
UCUAACCCUAAAAGCUUUGGGUUUGACUGAAGCCUCCCCCCCUUACACACACACACACACAGACACACACAGUGAAAGAGCCCUGAGCACGCGCUCACGUGGGUUCUCUGACCCCAGCACCAGAAGAGUUAACUCAUCCUCUGCAGAAGGGACAGAAAGUUGUCCAUACAGGAAGCUGUUCUCCAGUCCCAAAAGCCUCUGGGGAGGGGGGGAUGGGAGACACUUUUUUUUUUCAGCCUGUUUCUCAGGCUCCUCACCCUCCCUAGGGAUCCAGCUACAUGCCAGAGACUGACCCUUGACCUGGGCCCUUCCACUCCACCUCCCCAGCCGGAUAGACUCUGAUUCCACUCAGGGCCCCCAGGGUACUGAGAGAAUGGGACUCCCCCACUUCCUCGCUUCCUCGCCUCCCUUUCUCCCCCACCACCCCAACUAUUCCCCCAAUCUGGUUUAUUCACCCCCACCCCCCAUGGUGCCUCACUCCUCUCCUGUGCCACAGACAUGGAUCCUCCUCCGCCCUGGAUCCCCAGUCCUCGCGUCCCAACCCCCGCCUUCAUAAUCUUCUAAAAAUAAAAGCCAGUGAUUCAAGUUGGCAACUCCCGGAAACACAUACUCCAGCCCAGGCAUCCGCCUGGUGGGGGACAAGGAAGGACCCACAAACAGAGAAAUACUCAGACGAAACAGCUCAGAAGUACCACCAGGUGGUCAUGGGAAAAAGCCUGAAAAGACACUCCUCCCAGGCCGUCCAGACCAGUAGCAGAAAGACCGGACCACAUCACACUUUACUUGAGCCAGAUUCUGUCCUGUACUGAGCUCUUCAGCUUUCUGGACUGGAAUUGAUUUAAGUUCGUAGUUACAGUACAUUUGGGGACCUAGCAAUUAAUUAGAAGAAAAAAAAUGGCUAGUAUCUUUCAACUACUUCCUGUGUCCCACACCUGGGUUAAAAUGGUACAUGAUUGUCAUUAUAUGUGGAUAAUCCUGUUGUGAACUCAUUUUUAUCAUUCCUCACUUAUAGGUG